GACGAACGCUGGCGGCGUGCUUAACACAUGCAAGUCGAACGGUGAAGCGCCUUCCUUUUUGGUGGGUGUGGAUGAGUGGCGAACGGGUGAGUAACACGUGAGUAACCUGCCCCCUUCUUCUGGAUAACCGCAUGAAAGUGUGGCUAAUACGGGAUAUUCUGGGUCUGUCGCAUGAUGGGUCUGGGAAAGAUAUUGUUUCGGUGGGGGAUGGGCUCGCGGCCUAUCAGCUUGUUGGUGGGGUGAUGGCCUACCAAGGCGGUGACGGGUAGCCGGCCUGGGAGGGUGGACGGUCACACUGGGACUGAGACACGGCCAAGACUCCUACGGGAGGCAGCAGUGGGGAAUAUUGCACAAUGGGCGCAAGCCUGAUGCAGCGACGCCGCGUGAGGGAUGGAGGCCUUCGGGUUGUGAACCUCUUUCGCCAGUGAAGCAGGCCUGCCUCGUUUGUGGGUGGGUUGACGGUAGCUGGAGAAGAAGCGCCGGCUAACUACGUG
Molecule: ribosomal RNA, 494 nt
Filed under: uncultured bacterium
Lineage: Bacteria
Description: partial 16S ribosomal RNA
Rfam family: Bacterial small subunit ribosomal RNA
Source: RNAcentral